AAACUACAUAGCAACGUCCACUUUUAUUACGGUACAUCGUCCACUUUUCAAGGCUGGAGAUGAUAAAUCGAUAUUUGGUUCAUAUAAUCGUGCUACAUGUAAUUAUCACUUAUAGCAUUUUCGGCUAUUAUUUUCCUCGCAUUCGACUGUAGUUGGUCAAUUUCUUAUGGCAUAAAGCUUAAAACCUAUUGUAGAUCCGGACUUAAACCUUGUGUCCACGAUGUUAGAGUCAUGGCACACAAAAAACUUAAGACAAUGGAUACAUUCGGUACUACGACAGUUCAGUGAGCGUUUGUAUCUGUUUGGUCUAUAUUUUGAGUUCUAACGGAAUAUGCUAAUCAGAUGCAAGAGCUCACUGAGCGUUCAGUGAGCGAUUAUAAUACUAAAUGCACCCAAUAAGCAGUAUAUAAGGAAAUCAACAUGUUGGAUUGGCUACUAUGUUAUGAUCUUACGGACUCUACUGUGAUUGAUUAAUUCUUAUUGCUUACGUUUUACCGCUUAAGUUUUCGUGUGCCAUGACCCUUAGGCCGAGUUCAUAUCUUGAUGGAAAAGCGGAAGCCAAUCGCGGAACUCACAGUAGUAGUAGGUACAUUUCGCUUAUCUGCUUCUGCUUUCCGCGAGUUAUUGAUUGAUUUCCGUUUUUCCGUCAAGAUAUGAACCCGGCUUUAGAAAUCCGUCCUAAUUUUCGAUUCAAGUCCUAGAAUAGAAAUAGUUGUACUUUGAUGACUGUAGAUAGCGUUAUUCGAGUAUGUGAUGUUAGCUACCGCAAAUCGUAAUUUAUAUAAAUAUUAUAUUGGGUCAUCUAAAAAGUAUCCGUGGUUUUUAGAUGACCCAAUAUUAUAAAUCUCGAGGGAUCGUUCGGUAUGGACGUGCUUUAUAUAUAUAUUUCUUUUUUUCAACGAAUUUACUUAAUAAUUGCAUUGAUUCGAGACGCAGCCAUUCUCCAAAAGAAAAAGUUGUAAUUUAUAUCAACAUUAAGUGUUAGUUGGAACAUGAAUAAUUCAGCAAGACAAAAUUGAAAAAGUUGCUGAUUCUCGCAGCUUUUGUUAUGUAUGUGGAACAACAAGAAGAGCAAGAAAUAUAAGAAUGAAUAUACAAUGAAAAUACAAUGAUUAUACAAAGAAAAUUCGAAUUAAGAAGAUCUGUUUAUUUAGCACUC
Molecule: long non-coding RNA, 1159 nt
Organism: Acromyrmex echinatior (Panamanian leafcutter ant)
Lineage: Eukaryota; Metazoa; Arthropoda; Insecta; Hymenoptera; Formicidae
Source: RefSeq, a predicted model, not a curated record